This 1365-nucleotide ribosomal RNA is filed under the name Triticum aestivum (bread wheat). RNAcentral's name for it is "partial small subunit ribosomal RNA". Lineage: Eukaryota; Viridiplantae; Streptophyta; Magnoliopsida; Poales; Poaceae. The record is from RNAcentral.
AUGUCACGCGGCGGAGACUGGGACGGCUCCAACGUCCACGAGGACCACAUCGACUUCCUUCGCAAGAUGCGGCGGUUGCCCGGCAAGGAUCAUGUGCGGUUCCGUCUUGUGCCGGAGAGGGAGAUCUCGUCGGCGCCGGAGGAGGGCGAGCGGGUAAUCUUUCGCUCGCAUUGCCUGCGCGGCCUCGGCCUGCCUGCGAGCGGCUUCUUCCGUUCCUUCCUCGAGUUCUACCAGCUCCAGCCGCACCACCUCACUCCAAACACGGUGGUCCUGCUGUCUGCCUUCGUCACUUUGUGCGAGGGCUUCCUCGGCGUCCUUCCCACCCUCGAGCUCUGGGGGGAAUUCUUCCAGUCCAAGCUCGGUACCGCCAUGAGGGGCGUGCCGGCUCAGAGCGACGCCUUCAUCGCGAUGCGGAGGCCGGUAGCCGACAACCCUUUUCCUCCCAUCACGCUGAUCCAGUCGGUGAAGCUCUGGCAGCAAUCCUACUUCUAUGUGAAGAACGUCGCUCCGCAAGGCGACUUCGUCAACUUGCCGUCUUAUGUAGCUGGCCCGCCGGCUGGGAGGCGGCCCCAAUGGUCCUAUCGGGCCAAAACACUGUCGCCUGCUGGAGCCGCCGCCGUCACGCGACUCCGGGUAUUGGUCCAGUCGGAGGGCCUGACCGGGCCCGACCUGCUGGCCGCCUUCGUGGCGUGCCGGGUGCUCCCGCUCCAAGGCCGCCCUCAUAUGAUUUGUCAAAUGAGCGGCCAACUCGAUCCGAGUCGGCUGUGUACCAAGGAGAUGCCUCAUGCAGAGGUAGCUCACAUGGUGAACUACCUUGCGAACUGCAAGCUCAUCGACGAGUUGCAGUUUGGCAAGGAGCCGUACUCUCGUGCCAAUCCCCCGCCUAUGGUAAGCUUUCUUUUUCUUCUCUUCUUUACUUUUGUCACCAAGUUUCUCUUGGCCGACUCUGACCAGUCGGUUUGUCUUGAUAGAGCCCCCCUCCUUCGACUGGCAGCCGGGGCAGCGGGGGUGGAGCGCCAAUAUCCCCCCGACCGGACGACGCACGACUUGGACGACGACACCGUGGGGGGAGGCGGCGAGGUACGCGGCUCCGGGCUUGGAGCCAGCUUCGACGACUGGCCGUAUGAUGACGAGGCGGAAGUCGUCCCGUGCCGCCAGCCGGCGUCCGAUCAUCAUGGCGCGGGCUCAUCUGCCGCGCCGGCUGUCAGAGGCGGUGCGCAGAAGCGCCGGGCCGCGCCGAGCCUAUUCGGCAGUCGGCCGAAGAAGCCCAAGAGCGCGGCGGCGGCGACCAAGCGGGACGAGGCAGCCGCGAAGGCUGCCCGCUUCCGCAAGGUGGUGAAGCAGCCGCAAAUGGUUUCGGCGUAA